This 941-nucleotide ribosomal RNA is filed under the name Salmonella enterica subsp. enterica serovar Typhimurium. RNAcentral describes it as "partial 23S ribosomal RNA". It matches the Rfam family "Bacterial large subunit ribosomal RNA", at positions 1990 to 2925 of the family's 2925-position model. The record is from RNAcentral. Lineage: Bacteria; Pseudomonadati; Pseudomonadota; Gammaproteobacteria; Enterobacterales; Enterobacteriaceae. RNAcentral also lists the same sequence under 2 other names.
GCACGAAAGGCGUAACGAUUUGGGCACUGUCUCAACGAGAGACUCGGUGAAAUCAUAGUACCUGUGAAGAUGCAGGUUACCCGCGACAGGACGGAAAGACCCCGUGGAGCUUUACUGUAGCCUGAUAUUGAAAUUCGGCACAGCUUGUACAGGAUAGGUAGGAGCCUUUGAAACGUGAGCGCUAGCUUACGUGGAGGCGUUGGUGGGAUACUACCCUAGCUGUGUUGGCUUUCUAACCCGCACCACUUAUCGUGGUGGGAGACAGUGUCAGGCGGGCAGUUUGACUGGGGCGGUCGCCUCCUAAAAGGUAACGGAGGCGCUCAAAGGUUCCCUCAGAAUGGUUGGAAAUCAUUCAUAGAGUGUAAAGGCAUAAGGGAGCUUGACUGCGAGACCUACAAGUCGAGCAGGGUCGAAAGACGGACUUAGUGAUCCGGUGGUUCCGCAUGGAAGGGCCAUCGCUCAACGGAUAAAAGCUACCCCGGGGAUAACAGGCUUAUCUCCCCCAAGAGUUCACAUCGACGGGGAGGUUUGGCACCUCGAUGUCGGCUCAUCGCAUCCUGGGGCUGUAGUCGGUCCCAAGGGUUGGGCUGUUCGCCCAUUAAAGCGGUACGCGAGCUGGGUUCAGAACGUCGUGAGACAGUUCGGUCCCUAUCCGUCGUGGGCGUAGGAAAUUUGAGAGGAGCUGUCCUUAGUACGAGAGGACCGGGAUGGACAUACCUCUGGUGUACCAGUUGUCGUGCCAACGGCAUAGCUGGGUAGCUAUGUAUGGACGGGAUAAGUGCUGAAAGCAUCUAAGCAUGAAGCCCCCCUCAAGAUGAGAUUUCCCAACUUCGGUUAUAAGAUCCCUCGAAGAUGACGAGGUUAAUAGGUUCGAGGUGGAAGCGUGGUGACACGUGGAGCUGACGAAUACUAAUCGAUCGAAGACUUAAUCAAUUUUUAAA